AGCCAACAUUCAGCUAAUCCGCAUUGUUCAACCCACGCCUGGCGCCUGCUGAAUUCUGGAGAGUGUCACCUCUUUGGACGGCUGUGUGAGAAGAACCAGAACCAAAAAAACAACUCUGGAUCCAAUUCAUGACUGUACCACGAAGGAUGGAGGCGUUACAUGCCAGCAGUUUGACAGGCAGAGACUUGACCCGUCGUACCAAGGGUACAGCCACUCUCGGGCGUUUGACUGGCACCACACGUGGAACAGGAGACACUCUGCCACGGUACUCAAACAACCUGCGAAGAGGAAGGGUGGUUGAACACUGGGAAUACGACUGUAAACAUCUGGAAGGAAUUCUGCGUAGCAGUGCUGUUCUUUGGAAAGCUUUGGAAAUAAGCCAGUUAAGGUGGCUGAUUCAGAUACCUGAUUAAGAAUGGGACACGGAUGCCUCCGUGUGGAGGUGCAUCUUACCCGCCCUUUCCCAAGUCUGCCAACAUGACAAUCAAGUCUGGAGCAAGUGUCACAUAAAAGAAGUAAUAGAUGGAAUAUUGCACAUUACCAAUAUUAGACAAAAAAACUCACUGAUGUAAUGCUUUAUUUGUAAAUACACAAUACAAUCAAGUUGUUGUGUGUGCAAUGAUCCUAAACUUGUAACAGUAAACAAGGCCAGGUUCAUGAAGCAAUGUUUUUGCCAGUUUGGCCUGGAAUAACUUGGCUCACAUCAAUCCCCAUCAAACAUUAUUUGGGAUAAGGCUGUGAGCCUGUUCCCAACUUUUGAAAUGAUCUUGUAGCUAAAUGAAAGCACAUUACUGCAGAAAGGUUUCAAAAUGGUGUGCUAAUCUUUUCCAGAGCAAUGAAUUAUUAUCACAGCAUAUGAAUGUCCUAUGAAUGUAGCUUUAACAUCUUCACCAGCCACACAAGGGUGUUCACAAACCUUUGGCCAUAAAUUCUCUGUUGUUCCUAUGCUCUGAUUUUUAGCAAAUAAAGCCACAAUUAAUUAGAGUGAGACUGUCUUUUGUUUUGUUUUGUUUUUUUAAAUUUCGUUUUUAAUUUUAAAAGAGGAUAUCUGUUGACAGUAGAUAUCUACACUGCGUGAGGCUCACAGCUGGUGUGGCAGAGAUGUACAGAGAAUUUUUUUUUUGUUUGUUUAUUGUUAAGACUAUGACUUGUGCAUGCGUAGUAAGUGUGAGCAUACACUUCACUGACUUUGCUGUGGGUGUAAAUACACGAAUCGGUUUCUUCCUGAUUAGCUUUAAACGUGUAUAGGGUCUACAAUUGGGAAGUCAUUAAAUAUGUGUGUUCUUUAAAUAUUGUCCUAAUAGUAUAUACAAGUAUUAAAUAAUUUGUAGGAAGCAACCACUUCCUUCUACAAUUCUGACAUACUUGUCUUUUAAAUAAAUUGGCAAUGUGAGAGUCAUGCUGUGGUAAUCCUUGGAUGAGGUGCUUAUUUAAUUUCAAACUGAUGGUGCGUAUAAAUUAUCUUUCAAGUCCAAACCACAGAAACUGGUUUACGCUGGGUUCACAGGAUUGCAUAUGCUAUCCACACAAAUGCCAUUAAUCCUUUAUGGCAUGCUGAAUGAAAUAAAUUUAGACACUUUUUCGCAAGUGACAGUAUAUUGGAACAUGACAAGAAAUAAAUAAUAACUAUUAUCUACCAAACUGGUUAGUGACAGUUCUAGGUUAGAUGUAUGUUCCAGUUUCUUUGUGAGCACAUACAAUAUUUACCUCAGCUAGUCUUC
Long non-coding RNA from Haplochromis burtoni (Burton's mouthbrooder), 1721 nucleotides. RefSeq lists it as uncharacterized. The record is from RefSeq and is a predicted model, not a curated record. The transcript is spliced from 3 exons. NCBI's taxonomy places the organism in Eukaryota, Metazoa, Chordata, Actinopteri, Cichliformes, Cichlidae.